Molecule: ribosomal RNA, 561 nt
Filed under: uncultured bacterium
Lineage: Bacteria
Description: partial 16S rRNA
Rfam family: Bacterial small subunit ribosomal RNA
Source: RNAcentral
UAGGGAAUCUUCGGCAAUGGACGGAAGUCUGACCGAGCAACGCCGCGUGAGUGAAGAAGGUUUUCGGAUCGUAAAGCUCUGUUGUAAGAGAAGAACGAGUGUGAGAGUGGAAAGUUCACACUGUGACGGUAUCUUACCAGAAAGGGACGGCUAACUACGUGCCCCCAGCCGCGGUGAUACAUAGGUCGCCCACCGUUGUUCGGAUUUAUUGUGCGGAAAGCGAGCGCAGGCGGGGGCGGUUAGAUAAGUCUGAAGUUAAAGGCUGUGGCUUAACCAUAGUAGGCUUUGGAAACUGUUUAACUUGAGUGCAAGAGGGGAGAGUGGAAUUCCAUGUGUAGCGGUGAAAUGCGUAGAUAUAUGGAGGAACACCGGUGGCGAAAGCGGCUCUCNNGGCUUGUAACUGACGCUGAGGCUCGAAAGNNGUGGGGGAGCAAACNGGAUUAGNAUACCCUGGUAGUCCACGCUGUAAACGAUGAGUGCUAGGUGUUAGGACCNUUUNCGGGGUUUANNGCNGUAGCUNACGCAUUAAGCACNCCNCCUGGNNNNACGAANCNCAGGNNG